ACGCUGAAACACCAAUUCUCGGACGAUCACCGAAGUUAAGCAACGUCGGGCCUAAUCAGUACUUAGAUGAUUGACCGCUUAGGAAUACCAGGUGCUGG
Non-coding RNA from Acanthosepion pharaonis, 98 nucleotides. NCBI's taxonomy places the organism in Eukaryota, Metazoa, Mollusca, Cephalopoda, Sepiida, Sepiidae. The record is from the annotation of a GenBank genome assembly.